CAGAGAGCGCCCUGGUAGAGCUGGUGGUGUUAAUGUUCUGCAGCAGGAGUGAAAUAGCCUGGAGAUGUGCAGUGCGACAUCAGGGGCGUGUGCCCUAAAUAGGAGGGUUAACCAGGGCUUAUUCAGAAGGAAGGCAGUAAUUGCAGCUUGUGUGAAGCAGUAAUAUUCUUUUGUGCAUUAUUUACCCAGGAACAUCUGCUAAUACAUAUACAUUCUAUGGUGCAUGUAAACAACCUGCGCGGGAAGAGGAUUAGGAGAUUUAUAAAAAAUUAGAAGCAAGUUAAAAGGGCAAUUAGAAGAGCAGAAAGAGAUAUUGAGCAGUGAAUUAGAGAGGAUAUUUUAACACACAAUCAGAGCUUCCCGAGACGUAUCCAGAGCAGAGAGAAGGUAAAAGAGAAAAUUGGUCAAUUACGACAUGAUAGCAGGGAAUUGGUGACAUGGGAGAAGGUAAUGGCUGAUUUGUUAAACAGUUAUUUUGAUUCUGUUUUCACAAAGGAGGAAGAGGAUGGAGGGCAGCUCCGGAAAGGACUCGGGCUGUGCAGAUGAGGCAGGGAACAAGCCAAGGAGCCUGCAGAGAAAAAAAGGCACAUUUGCAGAGCGGCUGGGCGUAGGUAGAAUUUCACCCCUGUUCACAAGGGCGAAAAGCAGACGGGAGCUCGGGUGCGGAUGGGCAGGAGACGAGGGCUGGCAGAGAGGAAUUGUAUCAGGCUACGAGACCUCAAGGAGACAGCAAGCUAUGGAAAAGGGAAAUAUUCCUGGUUGUGCAAUAGAAAACAUGAUCUUGGGAACUGUUCGUGGGGCUGGGCUUGAAACUGAGGCAGGCAAAGCACGAUGGAAAGCAUCGGCAAAGGGAGAGCCUAGGGGAGGCUGCACCUGAUGGACCACAGAAAUUGUUACAUUGGCUUGAAAGAAAUGUGAAGUGAUGCUUUUUUUCUGCACUGCCCCUCUGAAAGGGGGAGUGGGUCUCAGAGCUACUUUCUGGGGCAAAGGAAGCAAAUUGGGAACGGUGACGUGGGGGCACACGGUAAGGUGUUGUCUGGGCAGCGGUGGAGAAGGUACCAGAAGCUGCAGAGGUGUGAUGUCAGCUUAGCCUGGGGCGCCAAACAUUUAUUCUCAGCAUCCGAGAGGUGCUUGGUUUUCAUCCUGCCUGGGAGGACAAGAGACGCAGUGUCAUGUGCUUUGUGUUUUCAAAGCAUGUAGGAAAAGCUCUGUAUUAGCAAUUACAGGAUGAAACUGUGGAAAAGUGGUACAAUGGAUAGAAAAUUGGCUCUGACUCAGGAAACGGGAUUCUGCAGCCAUGAGCGAGUUUCCAGAGGCACAGUGUGGGGUCUCUUCUGGGUUCUCUUUCAUUUAAUUUUUUUUUUUUUUUUAUGGAAAGGAUUUGCAUGAACAGCCCAAAGUUAGAGCGUUAAAGCUCACCGACACAGCCAAAUAGAAAAGGGGAAGCAGGCGUGCUGGGAGGGCCUCGUCUUGUCCCCAGCACGGCAAACAGAAAGGGAAGCAGUGCCUGACCACAGCUCAACGAGCAGCCUGUCUGCCUGGACCCAGGGAGGGGAAUCACUGCCUGGCCAAAGGUGUGCUUGCCUUGGGAAUCCCUUCUUUCCCUCUCACAACGAAGGGCUAUGUCCAGGGCAGCACGGAGGGAGCUACAAGCAAGGAGGGUUUGGGUUUGUGCCCAAGGAGAAGCGCAUCCAUCCGCCUCCAGCCCAGCUCUGGCUCUGUGGUUAUCCCCGUGUCCGAAGGGAUGCACGCUUUGGGGUUGCGAGAGCGCUGCUUGGGAGAAAAAGGGAUUUCUGCCAGCCUCGGAGCAACGUGCAAAAUGCAUGAAGACAUGCUGUAUGAAAGGAUCGUGAGGCACGCACGAGAGCCAAGUGGGGCUGUGGUGGAGCCGCACCACGUGGAUGGGAAGGUAGCUGUUGAGGCUAAGUGUCAGAGCAUGCCAUAAAAAUUUAGUUUAUCCUCAAAGAGCUGCGGUUGUCGAGGAAGAAUGGGUGCAGGGAGGGGUGGCGGCAAAGGGAAGGCAGGAGGAACAUCAGAAACCUGUAGUCUGUGUCAAGUGACACCUCCUAUUUAGCAGUGUAUCACGUCUCCCUUCUGGUUUUUAAACAGUAGCCUUUAUUGCUAGGAGUUAGAGUGCUUGAUUGACAAGGCUUGUAAUACACCGUGGAGUUGCCUUUAUUUUUCCUACAUGUUAAAGGAAAAGAUACUAAAAAUACAAUUAUGGUUUUGAGCCAGGCGUAGUCUGUUCUAAUAUAAUUCAUCUCAAAGACUAUCCAUCGUGCCUGCUGCACCCAAAUCAUUUAUAAAACAUUAGCAUCUCCUGUGCUGACAUUUCACUCCUAUAUUACAGGAGUUAUACAGAGACUUAAAAAAAAAUUAAUAAAGUGCUUCUCCUCUUCA
Molecule: long non-coding RNA, 2400 nt
Filed under: Anser brachyrhynchus (Pink-footed goose)
Lineage: Eukaryota; Metazoa; Chordata; Aves; Anseriformes; Anatidae
Description: lncRNA (ENSABRG00000011406.1)
Source: RNAcentral